Molecule: transfer RNA, 77 nt
Filed under: bacterium
Lineage: Bacteria
Also listed under: 3 other names
Description: tRNA-Pro
Rfam family: tRNA
About the family: Transfer RNA (tRNA) molecules are approximately 80 nucleotides in length. Their secondary structure includes four short double-helical elements and three loops (D, anti-codon, and T loops).
Source: RNAcentral
CGGGGCGUGGCUCAGCCUGGUAGAGCACCCGGUUCGGGACCGGGGGGUCGGAGGUUCAAAUCCUCUCGCCCCGACCA